This 599-nucleotide ribosomal RNA is filed under the name Pseudoalteromonas shioyasakiensis. Its description in RNAcentral is "bacterial SSU rRNA". It matches the Rfam family "Bacterial small subunit ribosomal RNA", at positions 80 to 675 of the family's 1533-position model. The record is from RNAcentral. Lineage: Bacteria; Pseudomonadati; Pseudomonadota; Gammaproteobacteria; Alteromonadales; Pseudoalteromonadaceae.
CUACUCUGCUGUCGAGCGGCGGACGGGUGAGUAAUGCUUGGGAAUAUGCCUUAUGGUGGGGGACAACAGUUGGAAACGACUGCUAAUACCGCAUGAUGUCUACGGACCAAAGUGGGGGACCUUCGGGCCUCACGCCAUAAGAUUAGCCCAAGUGGGAUUAGCUAGUUGGUGAGGUAAUGGCUCACCAAGGCGACGAUCCCUAGCUGGUUUGAGAGGAUGAUCAGCCACACUGGGACUGAGACACGGCCCAGACUCCUACGGGAGGCAGCAGUGGGGAAUAUUGCACAAUGGGCGCAAGCCUGAUGCAGCCAUGCCGCGUGUGUGAAGAAGGCCUUCGGGUUGUAAAGCACUUUCAGUAAGGAGGAAAGGUUAAGUGUUAAUAGCACUUAGCUGUGACGUUACUUACAGAAGAAGCACCGGCUAACUCCGUGCCAGCAGCCGCGGUAAUACGGAGGGUGCGAGCGUUAAUCGGAAUUACUGGGCGUAAAGCGUACGCAGGCGGUUUGUUAAGCGAGAUGUGAAAGCCCCGGGCUCAACCUGGGAACUGCAUUUCGAACUGGCAAACUAGAGUGUGAUAGAGGGUGGUAGAAUUUCAGGUG